GCGAACGUAACCCUACGACCGUCCGUACGAUAUACGGUCGCGGGACACAGAGAUGUGUCUUUCAGUUCGGCUGGACCCGGAUACAGGUGCUGCAUGGCUGUCGUCAGCUCGUGUCGUGAGAUGUUGGGUUAAGUCCCGCAACGAGCGCAACCCUCGCCCUUAGUUGCCAGCAUUUAGUUGGGCACUCUAAGGGGACUGCCGGUGAUAAGCCGAGAGGAAGGUGGGGAUGACGUCAAGUCCUCAUGGCCCUUACGGGCUGGGCUACACACGUGCUACAAUGGUGGUGACAGUGGGCAGCGAGCACGCGAGUGUGAGCUAAUCUCCAAAAGCCAUCUCAGUUCGGAUUGCACUCUGCAACUCGAGUGCAUGAAGUUGGAAUCGCUAGUAAUCGUGGAUCAGCAUGCCACGGUGAAUACGUUCCCGGGCCUU
RNAcentral lists this ribosomal RNA (429 nucleotides) under uncultured Ochrobactrum sp. RNAcentral's name for it is "bacterial SSU rRNA". It matches the Rfam family "Bacterial small subunit ribosomal RNA", at positions 959 to 1382 of the family's 1533-position model. The record is from RNAcentral. Lineage: Bacteria; Pseudomonadati; Pseudomonadota; Alphaproteobacteria; Hyphomicrobiales; Brucellaceae.